GCCCCUUCCGUUGUAAACACCGACUGAGUGUCCUGCUGCGUUGCUGAGGGUUUGUGCGUGUGGGUUGCUGCUUACUCCCAGUAUGAUGUGCCUUCAGCGCUUCCAUCGUUGUGGCAUCGCAAUUUAAUUGAUCGGAGCACCAGCUGUUUCAGUCAACGAGCCUGUUAAAUGAUUCUCUGGUAUAUGUUGACGUGUAACUGGAUCGUACUCUCUGGUUUUCGUGGACUCUAAAGUGGGCUAAUUAAGUGAGCAGUCGCAUUAAACGGUGCGCUCUCCCUCUCCGUCACGCUCUCUCUCUCUCUUUGAAGCCACGCUGCUGCUUUCUCCACAUCGAUACGUUUAAGUCAAGCGUGUAUGCGGGCCUGAGGAUUAUUUGCU
Pimephales promelas (fathead minnow) is the source of this 378-nucleotide non-coding RNA. The record is from RefSeq and is a predicted model, not a curated record. NCBI's taxonomy places the organism in Eukaryota, Metazoa, Chordata, Actinopteri, Cypriniformes, Leuciscidae.